This 863-nucleotide small RNA is filed under the name Pan troglodytes (chimpanzee). RNAcentral describes it as "retained intron". The record is from RNAcentral. Lineage: Eukaryota; Metazoa; Chordata; Mammalia; Primates; Hominidae.
CUAGGACAGUAGAGGAGCUUAAAUAGGGAUUUUGCUUAGAUUUUGCACUUUAAAAAAUUGUUUAAAUCCCCAACCAGGUCUGCUGAGAACAGACCCAGUCCCUGAGGAAGGAGAAGAUGUUGCUGCCACGAUCAGUGCCACAGAGACCCUCUCGGAAGAGGAGCAGGAAGAGCUAAGAAGAGAACUUGCAAAGGUAGAAGAAGAAAUCCAGACUCUGUCUCAAGUGUUAGCAGCAAAAGAGAAGCAUCUAGCAGAGAUCAAGCGGAAACUUGGAAUCAAUUCUCUACAGGAACUAAAACAGAACAUUGCCAAAGGGUGGCAAGACGUGACAGCAACAUCUGCUUACAAGAAGACAUCUGAAACCUUAUCCCAGGCUGGACAGAAGGCCUCAGCUGCUUUUUCGUCUGUUGGCUCAGUCAUCACCAAAAAGCUGGAAGAUGUAAAAAACUCCCCAACUUUUAAAUCAUUUGAAGAAAAGGUCGAAAACUUAAAGUCUAAAGUAGGGGGAACCAAGCCUGCUGGUGGUGAUUUUGGAGAAGUCUUGAAUUCGGCUGCAAAUGCUAGUGCCACCACCACGGAGCCUCUUCCAGAACAGACACAGGAGAGCCUGUGAGAUUCCUACCUUUGUUCUGCUACCCACUGCCAGAUGCUGCAAGCGAGGUCCAAGCACAUCUUGUCAACAUGCAUUGCCAUGAAUUUCUACCAGAUGUGCUUUUAUUUAGCUUUACAUAUUCCUUUGACCAAAUAGUUUGUGGGUUAAACAAAAUGAAAAUAUCUUCACCUCUAUUCUUGGGAAACACCCUUUAGUGUACAUUUAUGUUCCUUUAUUUAGGAAACACCAUUAUAAAAACACUUACAGUAAA